GACGGCAUGGUCGAGUAGUAAGGCGGAGAACUGCAAAUCCUUGUUCCCCAGUCCAAAUCCGGGUGUCGCCU
Beta vulgaris subsp. vulgaris (sugar beet) is the source of this 71-nucleotide non-coding RNA. NCBI's taxonomy places the organism in Eukaryota, Viridiplantae, Streptophyta, Magnoliopsida, Caryophyllales, Amaranthaceae. The record is from Rfam.